This 207-nucleotide unclassified non-coding RNA is filed under the name Puccinia coronati-agrostidis. Its description in RNAcentral is "partial internal transcribed spacer 2". Lineage: Eukaryota; Fungi; Basidiomycota; Pucciniomycetes; Pucciniales; Pucciniaceae. The record is from RNAcentral.
AACCCUCUCAUAAAACAACUUGAUUGUUGCUUUGUGGAUGUUGAGUGUUUGCUAUCUUUGUAUAGCUCACUUUAAAUAUAUCAGUCACACUUUUCAUGUAAGUUGGAUUGACUUGGUGUAAUAAUUUAAUCAUCACAUCAAGGAAAGUAGCAAUACUUGCCAUCUUUUGAAGGGAGAGACUCCUAAAAACACAUAAUUUUUUUUUAC